CAUGUGCACGGUAACUCCGCUGUUGUACAUAAUAUCUGCGAGUGUUAAUUUAUUCUUUAAUAAGAAUAUCGAGCGAAUAGUAAAAGUUCCGUUAUUUUCCGUCAAAAUAAUAAUAAAAUACGUGCAAGUAAUCUAUAAUACGUCGCGUCGGGAGUGCCGUAUAAAGUACCGUGCGAUUAUUUAUUAAUUUUUAUGCGUAAACGUAAUUAACCGUGUUGUCGCGAGUGUUACGAGUGCAACAAAGGAAAAAUGACCAACAAUAAGAGAGGAGGAGGAGGCUUGAGAAGGCAUCGGGCAAUAGCGGGGCAACCGUGAGAUCAAUAUGUGCACUGCAACUCCGCUGCGCGUCGUACCGCGAGUCGGAACGACCGGGCCAGUCGAGACCUGACGGGAGAGAGAGAGAGAGAGAGAGAGAAAGGGAAGGUGGAUGCCUAACAAGGGAUAACUUCAUUAAGGACCGCGGACCCAGCUUGUGUGUUUUACAAGUUACAAAUUAAGCUGAUUAGCAGCAAGUCGAAGCUCGAACUACCGCCUGCGCCGGCCAAAUCUCCGCUCGUCGCAUGCGACAACGUAAACGUUGAAUCGUGCCCCGGUUUGUUGACAUUCUGCAUGUUCGAACGGGCGAGAGAGUUGAUAGCGCUCGUGAGAAACUGCAACAAAUGAAUUAUCAUCCGCGCGUUCUGUGUUGAUAUUUUCCACAAUAUAUAGGUAUAUAUAUAUAUAUAUAUAUAUAUAUAUAUUUGGAAAUAUCCUGCGAACUACGUUUCCGAACGAGCAUCUCUCUAAUUUACACCGUGCGCAAAAUAAUAAAUAAUAAAAUGAAUAUUUAAUAAACUCUCUUAUAGCGUCUAGCGAUUAAAUAUUUCUUUCGCGUGGCAAGAGAUUAUCUUAAUUCUUUGAAAACUAAAAAACGCGAGCGCUAACGAACGCGAUUCUCUCCCUGCUCUCUCGCAUAUAUUUAUACACAUAAUAAGGGGAAAAAAAGAGUUUGUCUGAAACAUGGGAGGCAUUCGUCGUGCGAUACAAGUACUGCAGUUUCUCUCUCCGACAAGAUAACGUGACUGAAAAAUGGAAACAGAGAAAGGAACAAGCGACGUCGUCGAUCUUACGCGAGAUUGUCUUCUUCACUCUUGCGCCUUCACAGUACAUAAUUACGUCGCGCGAACUCUCCCGCGCAUGAAUGAAAUAUAAUAAAUAAUAAUAUGUAUAUAUGUAUAUCGUAUAUAGCGAGACCAUUGAUUGAAAAAUGCAUCACAUCCGCGAUACUACUAUUUUACAUACGUUACGAGAUGAAAACUCGUAUCGAAUUUGGAAACUCGCGACAAAAUUUAAAUGCAAACUAACUUUAAAUGAUAAAUUACGUAUGCAUAACGUAGCGUGUAAUAAUAAAUGUUAUGCGUGCAUAUAUAAUUUGAUCUCAUUUUCUGCGCGCAUUUUUCCCGUUUCGUCGAACGUGUGUUGUCCUCCUCUAUACUUUAUUCCCGAGUAAUUACAUUCCAAACGAUCUAUGUGUUCCUAAAUGAUCCAAUCCGGUUGAAUU
This is a long non-coding RNA of Nylanderia fulva, 1540 nucleotides long. RefSeq lists it as uncharacterized. The record is from RefSeq and is a predicted model, not a curated record. Lineage: Eukaryota; Metazoa; Arthropoda; Insecta; Hymenoptera; Formicidae.